GACGUAGGGCGCGAGCGUUGUCCGGAUUUAUUGGGCGUAAAGCGCGCGCAGGCGGCUUGGCAAGUCGGGUGUGAAAUCCCGGGGCUCAACCCCGGGACUGCAUUCGAUACUGUCAGGCUAGAGGUAGGUAGGGGAGAUCGGAAUUCCUGGUGUAGCGGUGAAAUGCGCAGAUAUCAGGAGGAACACCGGUGGCGAAGGCGGAUCUCUGGGCCUUACCUGACGCUCAGGCGCGAAAGCUAGGGGAGCGAACAGG
RNAcentral lists this ribosomal RNA (253 nucleotides) under uncultured bacterium. RNAcentral describes it as "partial 16S ribosomal RNA". It matches the Rfam family "Bacterial small subunit ribosomal RNA", at positions 524 to 776 of the family's 1533-position model. The record is from RNAcentral.